UUUUAUUUUGCAUUAAGAAUCCUCUAAAAUUGGAAUGAUAGAAGAUUAGCAUGGCCCCUGUGCAAGGAUGACACGUAAAUUCAUAAAGCGUUCCAUAUUAAA
Small nuclear RNA from Peromyscus leucopus (white-footed mouse), 102 nucleotides. NCBI's taxonomy places the organism in Eukaryota, Metazoa, Chordata, Mammalia, Rodentia, Cricetidae. The record is from RefSeq and is a predicted model, not a curated record.